UUGUUAGAUGAUGUUAUCGAUGCUGUAUAAGUUGAAACCUUUUGAUGAUGAGAGGUACAUGAACAAACCUACACUAAACAAUACUACAUUCCAGCUUGAAACGAAAUGAGUGGAGUUGAACGACGCCUGUUUAUCGAAACUACAUCAAUCAACUUUUCAACUAUGCAGGUGAUCGAUCUGGAGAGAUGAAAACAGUCUUAUGAUCUUCACACAGUCUCAGCUUUUUGGCAUUUACUAAUAUCUGAUGAACGGAUUUCAAAAUGUACAAGGCAUCAUAUCAAAGAUUGCAUAU
Bolinopsis microptera is the source of this 292-nucleotide long non-coding RNA. RefSeq lists it as uncharacterized. The record is from RefSeq and is a predicted model, not a curated record. The transcript is spliced from 3 exons. Lineage: Eukaryota; Metazoa; Ctenophora; Tentaculata; Lobata; Bolinopsidae.